Molecule: ribosomal RNA, 726 nt
Filed under: fungal sp.
Lineage: Eukaryota; Fungi
Description: mitochondrial SSU rRNA
Rfam family: Bacterial small subunit ribosomal RNA (bases 91-726)
Source: RNAcentral
UGUCCUUUUUUUUUGGUAUUGUCUAUAAUGUUUCCUAUGACUUUCCAAUUAAUUGAAAUACACAAAAGUUGUGUAUUGUUUGUAACGAGGAAUUCGUAUGUAAUUCUAGAUAAAGAGUAACAAUGACCAUUUUUAUCUAUAAGUCUUGGCCAAAUUACGUGCCAGCAGUCGCGGUAAUACGUAAAAGACUAGUGUUACUCAUCUUUAAUCGGUUUAAAGGGUACCUAGACGGGAUAUCAAGCCUUAAUGGGUACUAAUUUCCUAGAGUUUUAUGAAAGAAUGUCGAAUAUCUAGAUGAGAGUCAAAAUUCAUUGAUACUAGUUAGACGGGUAACAGCGAAGGCUCCAUUCUAUGUAAAAACUGACGUUGAGGAACGAAGCCUUGGGUAGCGAUAAGGAUUUGAUACCCUAGUAGUCCAAGGAGAAAAUUAUGAGUGCCAUAGACUAGUUAAAUUUAGUUUAUAAAUGAAAGUGUAAGCAUUCCACCUCAUGAGUAAAGUGGCAACACCGAAAUUGAAAUCAUUAGACCGUGUCUGAAACCAGUAGUGAAGUAUGUUAUUUAAUUCGAUGAUCCGCGAAUAACCUUACCACGCCUCGAAUAUUAUAUUUUUUACAAGCGUUGCACGGCUGUCUUCAGUUAAUGUCGUGAGAUUUUGGUUCGUUCCUUAAAUUAACGAAAGCCCUUGUUUUAAUUUAUUUUAAAGCAAUUUACCGCUAUAUUUGGUAG